ACGGCUCAGUAACACGUGGCUAACCUACCCUCGGGUGGGGGAUAACCUCGGGAAACUGAGGAUAAUACCCCAUAGGAGAAGAGGUCUGGAAUGAUCCUUCUCUGAAAACAUAUGUGCCCGAGGAUGGGGCUGCGUCUGAUUAGGUAGUUGGUGGGGUAACGGCCCACCAAGCCUACGAUCAGUACGGGCCUUGAGAGAGGCAGCCCGGAGAUGGGGACUGAGACACGGCCCCAGGCCCUACGGGGCGCAGCAGGCGCGAAACCUCCGCAAUGCACGAAAGUGCGACGGGGGGACCCCAAGUGCUUACGCACUGCGUAGGCUUUUCUAAAGUGUAAAAAGCUUUAGGAAUAAGGGCUGGGCAAGUCCGGUGCCAGCAGCCGCGGUAACACCGGCGGCCCGAGUGGUGACCACUUUUAUUGGGCCUAAAGCGUCCGUAGCCGGUCCAGUAAGUCCCUGUUUAAAUCCUACGGCUUAACCGUAGGGCUGGCAGGGAUACUGCUGGACUUGGGACCGGGAGAGGGCGAGGGUACUUCAGGGGUAGCGGUGAAAUGUGUUGAUCCCUGGAGGACCACCUAUGGCGAAGGCACUCGCCUGGAACGG
Molecule: ribosomal RNA, 600 nt
Filed under: uncultured archaeon
Lineage: Archaea
Description: bacterial SSU rRNA
Rfam family: Archaeal small subunit ribosomal RNA
Source: RNAcentral